This 404-nucleotide ribosomal RNA is filed under the name uncultured Rhodospirillaceae bacterium. RNAcentral's name for it is "bacterial SSU rRNA". It matches the Rfam family "Bacterial small subunit ribosomal RNA", at positions 355 to 776 of the family's 1533-position model. The record is from RNAcentral. Lineage: Bacteria; Pseudomonadati; Pseudomonadota; Alphaproteobacteria; Rhodospirillales; Rhodospirillaceae.
UGGGGAAUAUUGGACAAUGGGGGCAACCCUGAUCCAGCAAUGCCGCGUGAGUGAAGAAGGCCUUCGGGUUGUAAAGCUCUUUUGCCUGUGACGAUGAUGACGGUAACAGGAGAAUAAGCCCCGGCUAACUUCGUGCCAGCAGCCGCGGUAAUACGAAGGGGGCAAGCGUUGUUCGGAUUUACUGGGCGUAAAGGGCGCGUAGGCGGUUUAACAAGUUAGGCGUGAAAGUCCUGGGCUUAACCUAGGGACUGCGUUUGAUACUGUUAGGCUUGAAUGUGAGAGAGGAUGGCGGAAUUCCCAGUGUAGAGGUGAAAUUCGUAGAUAUUGGGAAGAACACCAGUGGCGAAGGCGGCCAUCUGGCUCAUGAUUGACGCUGAGGCGCGAAAGCGUGGGGAGCAAACAGG